CGAGUGCUCCUUGGUUCUAUGUAUCAGUUACUAAUGUUGACAAAGAAUCUUUCCAGAAACCAAAAAGGGACGCAGAGGAAUCACUGAAGCCAGCUGGUAAUGUAGGCACAUUGUUCAGAAACUGUGGCCAAGUUCCACAAGAGAAAAAGUAAGAGGGGGAGGGAUUCCCAUACACACCCCCGCCCCCCACCCCCUGCCCCACCAUGCUGAUGAAAAGACAGAAAACGAAGCCUGGAGAGCCAGAGAUGUGUGUGCAGCGAGCCCCGGAGGGCCUGCUUUGGGCAGGAAGCAGCCUGCUCUAACAGCAGCCUCCUGCUUAGCGGAGAGUGGGAUGAGCACGUGCAUGGCUGACAGGGAAGAGUGAAUCCAGAGCAGAAGUCAAGGGCAAGACUCGUGGGGGAGGAAGAAAGGGGCAGAAACCAGCUCCCAGCAAUAAAGGUCGGGUUAUUUUGUUCUUUUGUGACAUGCCCUACAUCCACUCCCUCCCCAAAGUGACAGCAAUUCGGGAGAUGACAUUCUUCAACUGCAUUUUAACUGAGUUUCUGCUCUUGCCAACCAAGUAAGUGGCCUAAUAUAUAAAUCCUCGAUUUGAAUUGGAGCCAGCUAGAAAAUUAAAUUUUAAAAAGGCAUUUUACAUGGCUUAUUUACAAUUAUACUUCUUCAAGAAGUGAUUGUUAUAUAUUUAUGUCUAUUUAUCUUUCCCAAACACCCUCCCCUCCACCCUCAAUCCCCACCCAAAGAAGGUAAUUUUUUUAAAAAAUGAAACGAAAGAGAACACCAGAGAUAUAGAAGAAUGGUGUGGAGUUUCAUUUGCUCUUCCUAAAACGCAGCUGCCCUGUGGUGGGUUUGCCUCUGCUCUGAAGGCCAAGAGGCUCCAAGGUCAUGUGUAGGGACAGGCUCCACGGCAGGACCACGGCAGAUCACAGUUCAUCACGGGUUCUGGAGACUGUGGCUAAGACAAGAUGUGGGGUAGGAGACGGGGAGAGAGCAGCAGGACAGACGUCUGUCUUGUGAAAACAGAAAGCCAGUGCUGACGAAGGAAGUCCCCAAGCUCACUCCCUCAGUCCCAGCGGCUGAUCCAGUGAAGGCGUUUGUGCGU
Molecule: long non-coding RNA, 1099 nt
Filed under: Pongo abelii (Sumatran orangutan)
Lineage: Eukaryota; Metazoa; Chordata; Mammalia; Primates; Hominidae
Description: lncRNA (ENSPPYG00000032912.1)
Source: RNAcentral